Capra hircus (goat) is the source of this 1187-nucleotide long non-coding RNA. RefSeq lists it as uncharacterized. The transcript has 3 exons. Lineage: Eukaryota; Metazoa; Chordata; Mammalia; Artiodactyla; Bovidae. The record is from RefSeq and is a predicted model, not a curated record.
CAUCCUCCCCCGACUGAUACAGUGACGUUCCCCCUUCUUGACAUCCUGGCCUCGUUGACAGCUCACAACAUCACGUGACUCACGCGUGCUACUCCACCUUCCUCCUCUACCUUCUCCCAACGGCUCCCCAGCAAUUUCCAGGAGCUGCUUUUAUUUCAUUCACUAAACAAUUUAUGAAUUGAAUUAAAAUAAAUGAGAUGCAAAUAAAUUCCAGGCUUUCUCCCUCAUUUUCAAAUUACAUUUUCAGUCCACUCAACCUGUUAUAAUCUCAUAGUGAUUUUCAUUUAAGAGAGCUAAAUGGAUAUGUGAUUAUUGUUACAGGAACUAACACCAGACAAUUAAAUGUUGAGGUGUUGAUAGAUAAAGCUGUGUUUCGAUUUGCAUAAACAUGAUGCCAGCAAAUCUAACCCUGGCAGAAAUUCAGUUAUAAGACUUGCGUGCCUAACUUCUGCUAAUUACCACGAGUACCAUUAUUACGACUUUUAAUAUUUGGAGUUGGGAUUAUGGCCAUUUUAUUUGAGGGCUGCAUUUAUCUUUAUUUCAAAAACUCAGUCAAAAUGCAUCACUGACUUAUCAGAGAAAAGGCACGAUUACUACUCCUAAUCAACUUCUACGGUGCAGUGUAUCAAAAAUCAAUUAUACAGCCCUGAAAUCCAGUCAUUAAGGAUUUAGUUACUAAUCUCAUUUCAUUUUUGUCUUUAGGAACAUACUGCAGCUUGCAACUCUACAGAUACCAGCAGAGGAAGAAAAACACGGGCGACUGCUGAUAACCUAAUGCGGAGAAUUAAACUCCAACUAAACAAAGGAAGCCUUCCCUGAUGCCUGCAGGGUGGAUGAGAGCUCCUCCUCUGUGAUCCCACCAAGCCCUGGAUGCUCCUCCAGCUUCUCGCUCAACCCACUGGAUUAUCCUGAGUUCAUCUGUUCUACCAGACUGUCAACUCCUUGAGCCUAGAGAGUGUGUUAUAAAACUUAUUUAGCAAAGCACACAGUAGGGCAUAGGCACCAGGUCAUUUGUUAAGUUGGCCAAACAGUGAAAGUUGACAGAGAAAAUGGCAAGUGUGAAAAGAACACCAAAGGGAAUCUCUACUUUCAGCUGAAGGGAAGAAAGGAGCCAUGGAGGCUUGGGAGACGGCCUCAGCUCCUGAGGAAAGGGGGUGUACCCUGCCACUUCGUGGGGACAAGUUGGA